Molecule: ribosomal RNA, 332 nt
Filed under: uncultured bacterium
Lineage: Bacteria
Description: bacterial SSU rRNA
Rfam family: Bacterial small subunit ribosomal RNA
Source: RNAcentral
AGUGUAGGCGGGAUCGUAAGUUAGGAGUUUAACGCAUGGGCUUAACCCAUGACCUGCUUUUAAUACUGCGGUUCUUGAGUAUGGGAGAGGGCGAUGGAAUUCCAGGUGUAGCGGUGGAAUGCGUAGAUAUCUGGAAGAACACCAGUAGCGAAGGCGGUCGCCUGGCCCAAUACUGACGCUGAUGCUCGAAAGCUAGGGGAGCAAACAGGAUUAGAUACCCUGGUAGUCCUAGCCGUAAACGAUGGACACUAGUUGCUGGAGGAGUCAAUCCUUUCAGUGACGAAGCUAACGCAUUAAGUGUCCCGCCUGGGGAGUACGCUCGCAAGGGUGAA